Molecule: ribosomal RNA, 433 nt
Filed under: uncultured bacterium
Lineage: Bacteria
Description: partial 16S ribosomal RNA
Rfam family: Bacterial small subunit ribosomal RNA
Source: RNAcentral
AACGAACGCUGGCGGCAUGCCUAACACAUGCAAGUCGAACGAGACCUUCGGGUCUAGUGGCGCACGGGUGCGUAACGCGUGGGAACCUGCCCUUAGGUUCGGAAUAACUCCCCGAAAGGGGUGCUAAUACCGGAUAAUGUCUUCGGACCAAAGAUUUAUCGCCUUUGGAUGGGCCCGCGUUGGAUUAGCUAGUUGGUAGGGUAAAAGCCUACCAAGGCGACGAUCCAUAGCUGGUCUGAGAGGAUGAUCAGCCACACUGGGACUGAGACACGGCCCAGACUCCUACGGGAGGCAGCAGUAGGGAAUAUUGGACGAUGGGCGAAGGCCUGAUCCAGCAGUGCCGCGUGAGUGAUGAAGGCCUUAGGGUUGUAAAGCUCUUUUACCCGGGAUGAUAAUGACAGUACCGGGAGAAUAAGCUCCGGCUAACUCCGUG